AAUCUUCCGCAAUGGACGAAAGUCUGACGGAGCAACGCCGCGUGAGUGAUGACGGNCUNNGGAUCNUNAAACUCUGUUGUUAGNNNNNAACAAGUAUCGUUCUAAUAUGGCGGUACCUUGACGUUACCUAACCAGAAAGCCACGGCUACCUCCGUUCCCUCAGCCGCGGUAAUACGUAGGUGGCAAGCGUUAUCCGGAAUUAUUGGGCGUAAAGCGCGCGCAGGCGGUUUCUUAAGUCUGAUGUGAAAGCCCACGGCUCAACCGUGGAGGGUCAUUGGAAACUGGGAAGCUUGAGUGCAGAAGAGGAGAGUGGAAUUCAAUGUGUAGCGGUGAAAUGCGUAGAGAUAUGGAGGAACACCAGUGGCGAAGGCGACUCUCUGGUCUGCAACUGACGCUGAGGCGCGAAAGCGUGGGGAGCGAACA
Molecule: ribosomal RNA, 423 nt
Filed under: uncultured bacterium
Lineage: Bacteria
Description: partial 16S ribosomal RNA
Rfam family: Bacterial small subunit ribosomal RNA
Source: RNAcentral